GGAGAGGUGCCAGAGUGGCCGAAUGGACUGGUUUUGAAAACCAGCGUCUCGUGAGGGACCCAGGGUUCGAAUCCCUGCCUCUCCGCCA
This 88-nucleotide transfer RNA is filed under the name Planctomycetota bacterium. RNAcentral's name for it is "Planctomycetes bacterium tRNA-Ser". It matches the Rfam family "tRNA". From Rfam's summary of the family: Transfer RNA (tRNA) molecules are approximately 80 nucleotides in length. Their secondary structure includes four short double-helical elements and three loops (D, anti-codon, and T loops). The record is from RNAcentral. Lineage: Bacteria; Pseudomonadati; Planctomycetota.